RNAcentral lists this transfer RNA (89 nucleotides) under Dehalococcoidia bacterium. RNAcentral describes it as "tRNA-Leu". It matches the Rfam family "tRNA". Rfam says of the family: Transfer RNA (tRNA) molecules are approximately 80 nucleotides in length. Their secondary structure includes four short double-helical elements and three loops (D, anti-codon, and T loops). Further hydrogen bonds mediate the characteristic L-shaped molecular structure. tRNAs have two regions of fundamental functional importance: the anti-codon, which is responsible for specific mRNA codon recognition, and the 3' end, to which the tRNAs corresponding amino acid is attached (by aminoacyl-tRNA synthetases). tRNAs cope with the degeneracy of the genetic code in two manners: having more than one tRNA (with a specific anti-codon) for a particular amino acid; and 'wobble' base-pairing, i.e. permitting non-standard base-pairing at the 3rd anti-codon position. RNAcentral also lists the same sequence under 1 other name. The record is from RNAcentral. Lineage: Bacteria; Bacillati; Chloroflexota; Dehalococcoidia.
GCCGAAGUGGCGGAAUAGGCAGACGCGACAGUCUCAAAAACUGUUGAAGGGCAACCUUCGUGUCGGUUCGAGCCCGACCUUCGGCACCA